CUGAAUCCUUUCCGAACUCAGAAGUGAAACACACCAGCGCCGAUGGUAGUGUGGGGUCUCCCCAUGCGAGAGUAGGUCACCGCCAGAC
Molecule: ribosomal RNA, 88 nt
Filed under: Idiomarina sp.
Lineage: Bacteria; Pseudomonadati; Pseudomonadota; Gammaproteobacteria; Alteromonadales; Idiomarinaceae
Source: RNAcentral